This 387-nucleotide ribosomal RNA is filed under the name uncultured bacterium. RNAcentral describes it as "bacterial SSU rRNA". It matches the Rfam family "Bacterial small subunit ribosomal RNA", at positions 30 to 418 of the family's 1533-position model. The record is from RNAcentral.
AUUGAACGCUGGCGGCAUGCCUUACACAUGCAAGUCGAACGGCAGCACGGGGCAACCUGGUGGCGAGUGGCGAACGGGUGAGUAAUGCAUCGGAACGUGCCAUUGAGUGGGGGGAUAACGUAGCGAAAGUUGCGCUAAUACCGCAUAUUCUGUGAGCAGGAAAGCAGGGGACCGCAAGGCCUUGCGCUCUUUGGGCGGCCGAUGUCAGAUUAGCUAGUUGGUGAGGUAACGGCUUACCAAGGCGACGAUCUGUAGCGGGUCUGAGAGGAUGAUCCGCCACACUGGAACUGAGACACGGUCCAGACUCCUACGGGAGGCAGCAGUGGGGAAUUUUGGACAAUGGGCGCAAGCCUGAUCCAGCCAUGCCGCGUGAGUGAAGAAGGCCUC